RNAcentral lists this long non-coding RNA (1071 nucleotides) under Equus asinus (donkey). RNAcentral describes it as "lncRNA (ENSEASG00005028937.1)". Lineage: Eukaryota; Metazoa; Chordata; Mammalia; Perissodactyla; Equidae. The record is from RNAcentral.
AAGGAAAAGAUCCUAUGGAGCUGUCUUCUAUGCCAAGAUGGAAGUGCGGAGAUUCCACCUCCUGCCUAUUUUUGAGGUGAUGAUAAAAGAUAUUUUUCCCAUCUUGGUUUUGGGAUGAGCAUCGCAAACAUCACUGUGAGCAUCCAUCAAACAGCCCUCAGUUUCUUAGGACCUGUUGAAAAGUCUUGGAUUGGGUUUGCUCAGUCCAUCAAAAUGGAGUUUAAAAGACCAAUAAGAAUCUCAUGGAGAGAAAGAUUAAGCAGCAGUACCGUUUUUACUAUCAAAGAAUGUUUUUGGAUGUGCUAAGAAGAUCCCCUGAAACAACAUCAUCAAUUAGAUGGACAAAUCUUUAGAUUAGGAACUAUAUCGUUGGAACACAAUCAACUCGUGCGCCCGUCACAGUUAUUAUACAAUGAACGGAAGAGUAACAACUUAGUCUGUGCCAAGUGCUUACGAUCAGUCAGGCCUAUUUAACAUGAAGCUCUUCCCCACCAUGUCCUGAUGCCUCCGUCCUCUGCACUUUACCACUGUGACCUUUCACACAAGGUCCAGGAUCACUGUCUCACUCAAUGCCUAACAUGCAUCUGGAGAAUAUAGUAUCCAUUUUGCUUCCUUAUCAACGAAUGCCCGGUUGCUACUGAGGAAUUUAUGCACGAUGUGAUGGAUGAGAGCCACCCUUAGCCACCUUCUCUCCCCAGUGAAGGAAGAACGUAAUGAAACUCAGGUUGUAAAGAUGAUAGCAUUUGACUGGGCAAAUAAGCACCUGCAUGUCAUCCUCCUAAACCUUGAGAUGGAAGAGACAAUGUACCCAGAAUAAGCACCUGCAUGUCAUCCUCCUAAACCUUGAGAUGGAAGAGACAAUGUACCCAGAAUAAGCACCUGCAUGUCAUCCUCCUAAACCUUGAGAUGGAAGAGACAGUAUCAGAAUAUGGAGCACAUAUAGACUUGUGCCAAAUGAUACAGGUCUCAAUCCUGUUUAGCCACUUACUAGCUGUAUGACCUUGGGCAGAUUACUUAAUCUUUCUGCACUUUGGUUUCCUCAUCUACAAAACAGGGUUAAUAGUGCCUACU